CCUACGGGGGGCUGCAGUGGGGAAUAUUGGACAAUGGGGGCAACCCUGAUCCAGCCAUGCCGCGUGUGUGAAGAAGGCCCUCGGGUUGUAAAGCACUUUCAGUGAGGAAGAACGCCUGGUGGUUAAUACCCAUCAGGAAAGACAUCACUCACAGAAGAAGCACCGGCUAACUCCGUGCCAGCAGCCGCGGUAAUACGGAGGGGUGCGAGCGUUAAUCGGAAUUACUGGGCGUAAAGCGCGCGUAGGUGGCUUGAUAAGCCGGUUGUGAAAGCCCCGGGCUCAACCUGGGAACGGCAUCCGGAACUGUCAAGCUAGAGUGCAGGAGAGGAAGGUAGAAUUCCCGGUGUAGCGGUGAAAUGCGUAGAGAUCGGGAGGAAUACCAGUGGCGAAGGCGGCCUUCUGGACUGACACUGACACUGAGGUGCGAAAGCGUGGGUAGCAAACAGGAUUAGAUACCCGGGUAGUC
RNAcentral lists this ribosomal RNA (466 nucleotides) under Vreelandella stevensii. Its description in RNAcentral is "partial 16S ribosomal RNA". It matches the Rfam family "Bacterial small subunit ribosomal RNA", at positions 338 to 795 of the family's 1533-position model. Lineage: Bacteria; Pseudomonadati; Pseudomonadota; Gammaproteobacteria; Oceanospirillales; Halomonadaceae. The record is from RNAcentral.